RNAcentral lists this ribosomal RNA (460 nucleotides) under uncultured bacterium. RNAcentral describes it as "partial 16S ribosomal RNA". It matches the Rfam family "Bacterial small subunit ribosomal RNA", at positions 338 to 795 of the family's 1533-position model. The record is from RNAcentral.
CCUACGGGAGGCAGCAGUGAGGAAUAUUGGUCAAUGGACGAGAGUCUGAACCAGCCAAGUAGCGUGAAGGAUGACUGCCCUAUGGGUUGUAAACUUCUUUUAUAUGGGACUAAAAUGUUCCACGUGUGGGAUUUUGUAUGUACCAUAUGAAUAAGGAUCGGCUAACUCCGUGCCAGCAGCCGCGGUAAUACGGAGGACCCGAGCGUUAUCCGGAUUUUUUGGGUUUAAAGGGAGCGUAGGUGGAUUGUUAAGUCAGUGGUGAAAGUUUGCGGCUCAACCGUAGAAUUGCAGUUGAAACUGGCAGUCUUGAGUGCAGUAGAGGUGGGCGGAAUGCGUGGUGUAGCGGUGAAAUGCUUAGAUAUCACGAAGAACUCCGAUUGCGAAGGCAGCUCACUGGACUGCAACUGACACUGAGGCUCGAAAGUGUGGGUAUCAAACAGGAUUAGAUACCCCAGUAGUC